AGUGAACGCUGGCGGUAGGCCCAACACAUGCAAGUCGAACGGCAGCACAGGAGAGCUUGCUCUCUGGGUGGCGAGUGGCGGACGGGUGAGGAAUACAUCGGAAUCUACCUUUUCGUGGGGGAUAACGUAGGGAAACUUACGCUAAUACCGCAUACGACCUACGGGUGAAAGUGGGGGACCGCAAGGCCUCACGCGAUUAGAUGAGCCGAUGUCCGAUUGGCUAGUUGGCGGGGUAAUGGCCCACCAAGGCGACGAUCGGUAGCUGGUCUGAGAGGAUGAUCAGCCACACUGGAACUGAGACACGGUCCAGACUCCUACGGGAGGCAGCAGUGGGGAAUAUUGGACAAUGGGCGCAAGCCUGAUCCAGCCAUACCGCGUGGGUGAAGAAGGCCUUCGGGUUGUAAAGCCCUUUUGUUGGGAAAGAAAUCCUGUCGAUUAAUACUCGGUGGGGAUGACGGUACCCAAAGAAUAAGCACCGGCUAACUUCGUGCCAGCAGCCGCCGUAA
This 506-nucleotide ribosomal RNA is filed under the name uncultured bacterium. Its description in RNAcentral is "partial 16S ribosomal RNA". It matches the Rfam family "Bacterial small subunit ribosomal RNA", at positions 29 to 523 of the family's 1533-position model. The record is from RNAcentral.